RNAcentral lists this ribosomal RNA (472 nucleotides) under uncultured bacterium. Its description in RNAcentral is "partial 16S ribosomal RNA". It matches the Rfam family "Bacterial small subunit ribosomal RNA", at positions 28 to 507 of the family's 1533-position model. The record is from RNAcentral.
GAUGAACGCUGGCGGCGUGCCUAAUACAUGCAAGUCGAGCGAACGGACGAGAAGCUUGCUUCUCUGAUGUUAGCGGCGGACGGGUGAGUAACACGUGGAUAACCUACCUAUAAGACUGGGAUAACUUCGGGAAACCGGAGCUAAUACCGGAUAAUAUUUUGAACCGCAUGGUUCAAAAGUGAAAGACGGUCUUGCUGUCACUUAUAGAUGGAUCCGCGCUGCAUUAGCUAGUUGGUAAGGUAACGGCUUACCAAGGCAACGAUGCAUAGCCGACCUGAGAGGAUGAUCAGCCACACUGGGACUGAGACACGGCCCAGACUCCUACGGGAGGCAGCAGUGGGGAAUAUUGGACAAUGGGCGAAAGCCUGAUCCAGCAAUGCCGCGUGAGUGAUGAAGGCCUUAGGGUUGUAAAGCUCUUUUACCCGGGAUGAUAAUGACAGUACCGGGAGAAUAAGCUCCGGCUAACUCCGUG